AUUAAUGACCCGGAGCCACAUGACGGAGCAUGACACAGCACUUUUGGGCACAAGGCAGGGCCCAGAGGGGUGCGUGGGGGCCGCAGCCCAGCCCCCAAGCCCGGCCAGCGGCUUUACUGGGGUGUAACAAACACACGAUAAACUGUGCAUACUCCAGUGUUCAUGUGGAUGAGUUUGGACAUAUGCACACACUUCCGAAACCACCAGCACAAUCAAGACGGCAGACAUAUCCAUCACCCCCAAGGGUGUCCUUGUGUCCUUUUGUCAUUCAUCCCUCCUGGCACCCCCAUCCACACUCCCAUUGCCUGCUGACUGUGGCUGAUCUGCUUUCUGUGGCUGUGGAUUAGUUUGCGUUCUCUACAAUUUUCUGAAGCACCAGUUGGCCCAGAUGCUUCUCAUCUUUAGAGUUGAGCUGCAGGCUGGAGACCUGGAAGGCCCUCGCAGCACCUGCUCCCACCCUCUCACCUCACGAAAGCACAGGAACAUGGGUUUGGAGCCAAUGGAAAGUACUGGAAUUUGGCUCUGCUCCGUGGCCCUGGGCAAGUCACUGCCCCUCUCUGGGCUUCAGUUUCCUCCUUGCUCCAUGAGGGCAGGAGAUUUUGUCUGUUUCAUUGACAAUGUGUUCCCAGAGCUCAGCACAGUGUCAGGCACACACUAGGUAACAGCACCUCGACUUCCUACUAAAGAACCCCCUCUUCCCUUUUCUCAGUCCAUGAGGCUGGGGGUGCCCAGAGGCCUCUGUCUCCAGGGGUGGACAUGUGACUAGGUCUUGCUCUAGUGAUUGGUCCAGGGAUGGGCACAUGACUGAGCCUGCCCAAUGAAACUUGAUCCUGGGACUUUAGGGUUGGCCGUGAUUUGUGAAGGAGAUGCCAUUUUCCAUUGGAUGGACAUCGAGCAAGUGAACACUUAGAGAAAAAGAGGACAAAACAAGGGAAAAGCCUGCCUGAGAGGAAGCAGCACAGAGCUGGACAGGCUUUGAACUCCUGGAUCCCACUGUUCCUGAAAUUAGGCACCUUCAACUUUCUAGUUAUGUGAGCCACUGUCUUUCCCAUUUUUGGCUGAAAACAGUUGGGACUUGCUUUCUGUCCCUUGCAUACAGAAGGUGCUGACUGACCCCUGCCCCAUGGAAGAAGAUACUCCAGGCAGAGGAAAUAGUGUGUAUAGACACCCCAAAGAGAAUGCCAAGUGGGGCACUCAUGUACCAAGGAGAAGAAGGAGGAGGCACGUGGGAGCUGAGCUUAAGAGUUAGUCGGGUGGUCAAGGUGGGAGAAGGGGGUAUCCUUAGCACAGAGAACAACCAAUGCAAAAGCUUGGAGGGGUGACUAGUUAGUGAAGAUCAACUAUGUGCUGAGCUCGUGUUGGGUGGCAAGGGACACAGACGAAAAGGGCACAGUGGAACCCAGCUGCUCCUCACCUGCUCCAGCACAGUGCAGGCUUGUCUGCUUUUGGAGCAGAGCCUGGACACCUCCGCGUCCUUCCCCUGGCAGAGUGCUGCCAGCACGCUCUCUCAGACUCUCCAGCAUCUCCUGGUUGAUGUGCAUCAUGGGGACCACACAAGAUUAUUUUAUAGGCUGCACAGGCGAAGCAUAAAAUCACCUCGGGUCACAUAGUGAGAGUUAUUCUCUCUGCAAAUUCUUUACAGUCUUUCCUUUAUAUCCAGAAGAGUCUCUGUGUGGUGCUAACUUGCCUCUAAGACCAAAUACUUGCUAAUCUCCCUUUGUGAAAAAGAGAGCAGGUAUCAGGCUCAUUCCUGUCUCAGGCACACAACUGUAUCUAGCUAGACUUUUCGAAAUGUCAUAUAGAGCUGCAGCACAUAUGAAUGAUGUGCCCAGCUGGUCCCAGGCCUGUAAUCGGCACCCCAGUGAGCAGACUGAACAUCCCCACCCCCACAGCUGCCCUCUCUCCCCUCUACUCAUGUUCCCUCUAGGGACGCCACGAUCCCGACUUGUAUCACCACAGAUGAGUGUCACAUGUUUUUGAAUUUUACAUCUUAUCUGUUUUCUGUUUCUAUACAAGUUUGCCUUUUCUAGAAUUCCAUAUAAGUGGAAUUCUACAAUGUGUUAUCUCAAUUUGAGUCUGUUUUUUUUUCCUGCUCAGCAUGAUGCUUUUGAGAUGCAUAUAUGAGGUUUUGUGUAUCCAUAGAUGGUUCUUUUUUAUUGCAGAAUAAUGUUCCAGGGUAUGGAUGUACCAAAGCUUGUUCAUCCAUUCACCAGCUGAGGGAUAUUUGGACUGUUUCCAGUUUUCAGCCAUUAUAAAUACAGCCACUAGGCACAUUUGC
This is a long non-coding RNA of Nomascus leucogenys (northern white-cheeked gibbon), 2278 nucleotides long. RefSeq lists it as uncharacterized. NCBI's taxonomy places the organism in Eukaryota, Metazoa, Chordata, Mammalia, Primates, Hylobatidae. The transcript is spliced from 5 exons. The record is from RefSeq and is a predicted model, not a curated record.